Molecule: long non-coding RNA, 469 nt
Organism: Lolium rigidum
Lineage: Eukaryota; Viridiplantae; Streptophyta; Magnoliopsida; Poales; Poaceae
Exons: 3
Source: RefSeq, a predicted model, not a curated record
CGGUCGCCAGGCUUCCGCCUCCGUCUCCUGGUCAGUCCCGGCCUCCAUUGAGCUGGGCGUAGCGGCGUCGGGCAAAGAAGAGCAAGCAACGGAGCGACUCCGCCGCCAUGGAGGCCCCGGAGGAGGUAGUGGACGCGGGAGGAGGAGAGGAGGAGCGGGUGGCAGGGGCGGAGCAGGUGCGGCCGGCCCGCAGGAGGGAGGCGCAGUGAUGGAGGGCGACCGGCGGCGUGCUCGUGUUUCAUCUGCUCUGCAAUCUGUGUAGAUCAACCUUCAAGCGACGUUUCUUUAUCGAUCUUGUCGAUCUGCGUGUUCUGGUCGGUUGGCUUGGUUCUUUGGUCCGGCCGCUGACUGCUUCUGAAGAUUAUUGGGGGCUGCCUCUUCUGUGCUGAGAGAAAAAAAAAAGGUCCUGGUUUCUGAGGAUUUCACAAGAAUCAGGUGUGACUGUGCUGUGUUGUCUGCUCAUGUCAAG